RNAcentral lists this ribosomal RNA (474 nucleotides) under uncultured bacterium. Its description in RNAcentral is "partial 16S ribosomal RNA". It matches the Rfam family "Bacterial small subunit ribosomal RNA", at positions 28 to 507 of the family's 1533-position model. The record is from RNAcentral.
GACGAACGCUGGCGGCGUGCUUAACACAUGCAAGUCGAGCGGUAAGGCUCCUUCGGGAGUACCCGAGCGGCGAACGGGUGAGUAACACGUGAGUAAUCUGCCCUUCACUUCGGGAUAACCACCGGAAACGGUGGCUAAUACCGAAUACGACCAGUCUUCGCAUGAGGUGCUGGUGGAAAGUCUUUUCGGUGAAGGAUGUGCUCGCGGCCUAUCAGCUUGUUGGUGGGGUAAUGGCCUACCAAGGCUUCGACGGGUAGCCGGCCUGAGAGGGUGACCGGCCACACUGGGACUGAGACACGGCCCAGACUCCUACGGGAGGCAGCAGUGGGGAAUAUUGGACAAUGGGCGAAAGCCUGAUCCAGCAACGCCGCGUGAGGGAUGACGGCCUUCGGGUUGUAAACCUCGUUCAGUACCGACGAAGCGCCCUGUCGGGUGGUGACGGUAGGUACAGAAGAAGGACCGGCCAACUACGUG